AGCCGGGGUGUUAGCGGUACCUUGUACCUACAAUCCGCUAUAGUAGGGGUGAUGCUGUGCCGAGGGCUGUUUUGGUCAAAGCUGCCUUUGGUUUGUGACGUUGAUAUCUGGGUCUUACGCGGCGGAAAUCUGUGAACCGUGUCAGGUCGGGAACGGAGCAGCACUAAGCAGAAGCUUCUGGGUGCCGUAAGGCAGCCUGGGUUGAGUUUACUGCCAGAGUAACGUUUG
RNAcentral lists this signal recognition particle RNA (228 nucleotides) under uncultured Bariatricus sp. Its description in RNAcentral is "Bacterial large signal recognition particle RNA". It matches the Rfam family "Bacterial large signal recognition particle RNA", at positions 8 to 230 of the family's 256-position model. From Rfam's summary of the family: The signal recognition particle (SRP) is a universally conserved ribonucleoprotein involved in the co-translational targeting of proteins to membranes. Archaeal SRP consists of a 7S RNA and homologues of the eukaryotic SRP19 and SRP54 proteins. Lineage: Bacteria; Bacillati; Bacillota; Clostridia; Lachnospirales; Lachnospiraceae. The record is from RNAcentral.